GGAUAACCUGGGAAACUGGGGAUAAUACCGGAUAGGCAAUUAGUCCUGCAAUGGUUUUUUGUUUAAAUGUUUUUUCGCCUAAGGAUGGGUCUGCGGCCGAUUAGGUAGUUGGUUAGGUAAUGGCUUACCAAGCCGUUGAUCGGUACGGGUUGUGAGAGCAAGAGCCCGGAGAUGGAACCUGAGACAAGGUUCCAGGCCCUACGGGGUGCAGCAGGCGCGAAACCUCCGCAAUGUGAGAAAUCGCGACGGGGGGAUCCCAAGUGCCAUUCUUAACGGGAUGGCUUUUCAUUAGUGUAAAAAGCUUUUGGAAUAAGAGCUGGGCAAGACCGGUGCCAGCCGCCGCGGUAACACCGGCAGCUCUAGUGGUAGCAAUUUUUAUUGGGCCUAAAGCGUCCGUAGCCGGUUUAAUAAGUCUCUGGUGAAAUCCUGUAGCUUAACUGUGGGAAUUGCUGGAGAUACUAUUAGACUUGAGACCGGGAGAGGUUAGAGGUACUCCCAGGGUAGAGGUGAAAUUCUGUAAUCCUG
This 525-nucleotide ribosomal RNA is filed under the name uncultured rumen archaeon. RNAcentral describes it as "bacterial SSU rRNA". It matches the Rfam family "Archaeal small subunit ribosomal RNA", at positions 124 to 650 of the family's 1478-position model. The record is from RNAcentral.